Molecule: ribosomal RNA, 495 nt
Filed under: uncultured bacterium
Lineage: Bacteria
Description: partial 16S ribosomal RNA
Rfam family: Bacterial small subunit ribosomal RNA
Source: RNAcentral
AUGCACGCUGGCGGCGUGCCUAAUACAUGCAAGUCGCGCGAACAGACGAGGAGCUUGCUCCUCUGACGUUAGCGGCGGACGGGUGAGUAACACGUGGAUAACCUACCUAUAAGACUGGGAUAACUUCGGGAAACCGGAGCUAAUACCGGAUAAUAUAUUGAACCGCAUGGUUCAAUAGUGAAAGACGGUUUUGCUGUCACUUAUAGAUGGAUCCGCGCCGCAUUAGCUAGUUGGUAAGGUAACGGCUUACCAAGGCGACGAUGCGUAGCCGCCCUGAGAGGAGGAGCGGCCGCAGGGAAGCGGAGACGCGCACCAGCCCCUGGGGGGGGGCACGGGGGGGAAUUCUACCGAAGGGGGCAAAGGCGAAAGGGGACAACUGCGGGGGAGUAAGAAGGGUCUACGCCUCGAAAAACUUUUUUGUGGGAAAAAAACAAAAUGGUAGGAACGAAUACGCUUCUGACGGUACCUAAACAAAAAGCCCCGGCUAACUUCGUG